UUUCCGUAGGUGAACCUGCGGAAGGAUCAUUAGAGAAUUUUAGGGCGUCUACUUGUAGGGCCUGGCCUUCACUUUCUAACUCUGUGCACUUAUUUGGCGGUAAAAGGGAAUGGUGUUUGUUUAACGACGUUUGCGAAUUCGUUAUUCUGCGGCUUACUUUAAACACUAGUCAUAGUAUGUAACGAAAUAUCGAAAAACAAAAAAACUUUCAACAACGGAUCUCUUGGCUCUC
RNAcentral lists this unclassified non-coding RNA (232 nucleotides) under plant metagenome. Its description in RNAcentral is "partial contains small subunit ribosomal RNA, internal transcribed spacer 1, and 5.8S ribosomal RNA". The record is from RNAcentral.